Molecule: small RNA, 78 nt
Filed under: Salmonella enterica
Lineage: Bacteria; Pseudomonadati; Pseudomonadota; Gammaproteobacteria; Enterobacterales; Enterobacteriaceae
Also listed under: 3 other names
Description: partial RtT sRNA
Rfam family: RtT RNA
About the family: This family represents a bacterial cis-regulatory element known as RtT RNA. The exact function of RtT is unknown although it is thought that it may be involved in changing the cellular response in relation to amino acid starvation.
Source: RNAcentral
UAUCUCUCCGUACGGGGAAGGAUGAGAAGCUUCGACUAAGGUUCGAUUCGAGCGCAGCGAGAAAGCGUUGCCGCAGGC